CAAUCUAUCUUCUUGAUUAGUGAUGGUAAAAAAUUUACAUGUUCAAAUCAAAACACCCUUCUCUCAGAAGAAGAAAAAAUGCAAAAAAGAAGAAAGAUAAGCAACCAGGAAGAUACAUUUCUAGUUAAUCCCUUGAAGGACUCCAUCUCUAUCCAUGUAUACAUACAAAAUCUGGGGAUCAAGAAAGCCUUUUUCCUUUCAAGAAUCUCCAUGUUUAUGCCAGCAAACAAGCAUGGCAACGCAGCGCCUCAUGAUAUAGAAUCUUGCCUUCUGUUCUUUAGCUAAGCUACUGCACUUUCGAGUAAUGGAGGAGUUCUUCUGAGAGUAACUCCUUGGAAGAGGACACUUGCUGCUUGGAGAAGAGCAUUUAAGGGAAGAGCUUCUCAAGAGAGGAGACUUUGAAGAUGAACUCUUGGUUGAGAAACUCCUAACAAAAGAAGAAGAAGAUGAACCUUCUUUCUUUGAUGGCUUCCACUUCUCAUCCAUGUAAAAAUAGACAGAAAAAGAAAAGCCAAUGAUCGAUGUGACACUUCUUUCUUUUGUGCAGGCUGUAAGAGAGAGGGAGAGACAGAGCGAGAGAAAGAGAACAGAAAAGAGAAAGAGAAUUGAUUUAAAGGAGAACUGUAGGCUAUAGUGAGGCUUUGAUAACAUAUAUAGGAAGUUAGGUUAUGAAGACAUCAAGUGCUUAUAAUGACCAAAUUUCUUGCUUGUCUAUGGAAGCAUGGUAUCCAUGUAAUUUAUUGGUGUUGUGGCAUUAUUUGAUUGGAUGAUUCUGAAAUAGGACUCAUGUGUGAAGUCCAUAGUAGAUGAAUCCCUGAAUCUUGAACGCUCCUCUAUCCCUCUUGGAGAUCCAUCCAUCAUUUAAUUUGGAGACACUGGUGUCGUACGGUGCUUCAUUACGGUGAAUUUUUUAGGGCCUUAUUUGAGAGAGAGAA
Molecule: unclassified non-coding RNA, 935 nt
Filed under: Hevea brasiliensis (rubber tree)
Lineage: Eukaryota; Viridiplantae; Streptophyta; Magnoliopsida; Malpighiales; Euphorbiaceae
Source: RNAcentral